AACAAAUCAAUUUUUCAGUUUUUAGAUAUAAUGUUUUACUCUUCGUCUUAUUAAAAAAUUUACAAUCAAUAAUUUUAUUUUUAUUAGAUGGUAAAAUAUGAAUGGUACUUUAUAUGUAACUAUUUUUUUAAAAAUUUUUUAAAAAAUUUUCAAAUAGGACGGAUGGUCAAACGUUCGACAAAAAACCGAAAAGUUGAUUUUUUU
RNAcentral lists this microRNA precursor (204 nucleotides) under Oryza brachyantha (malo sina). RNAcentral's name for it is "MIR812 microRNA precursor family". It matches the Rfam family "MIR812 microRNA precursor family". The record is from Rfam by way of RNAcentral. Lineage: Eukaryota; Viridiplantae; Streptophyta; Magnoliopsida; Poales; Poaceae.